GCAAAAAUAACAUAUUUGGUUGAUAAACUACGGAUAUCAACUAUAUUUAGCAGAAAUACACCGCAAAGGGGAUUGCCAAAAUUGCUUUAUGAAACAGAACAAAUCAUUCAAAAUCCAAAAUUCAUAUUUCUUUCCUCUCCAUUUAUCUAAAUCAAUAUCAAUUUUUGUCACCUCACAUAAUAUCAUGCAGAUGCAAAACCAAUGUAAGCCACAUUACCAAAAACAAUAUAAGCCACACGCUAAACAACCACAUUACUAAUCCAGCCACAAACUCAUAUCCUAAAAUUUAUCAUCCACCAAUAAAGCUUAAAACACAAUUACGCAUCAUCAAAAUAUAUGCUAACAAUCCAAAUUCCCAUCUCUUUCUCUAGCAAUUCUAAGCAACCAAUAAAU
This 393-nucleotide unclassified non-coding RNA is filed under the name Hevea brasiliensis (rubber tree). Lineage: Eukaryota; Viridiplantae; Streptophyta; Magnoliopsida; Malpighiales; Euphorbiaceae. The record is from RNAcentral.